RNAcentral lists this ribosomal RNA (420 nucleotides) under uncultured bacterium. RNAcentral's name for it is "bacterial SSU rRNA". It matches the Rfam family "Bacterial small subunit ribosomal RNA", at positions 29 to 450 of the family's 1533-position model. The record is from RNAcentral.
AUUGAACGCUGGCGGCAUGCCUUACACAUGCAAGUCGAACGGCAGCACGGGAGCAAUCCUGGUGGCGAGUGGCGAACGGGUGAGUAAUACAUCGGAACGUGCCCAAUCGUGGGGGAUAACGCAGCGAAAGCUGUGCUAAUACCGCAUGAGAUCUACGGAUGAAAGCAGGGGACCGCAAGGCCUUGCGCGAAUGGAGCGGCCGAUGGCAGAUUAGGUAGUUGGUGAGGUAAAGGCUCACCAAGCCUGCGAUCUGUAGCUGGUCUGAGAGGACGACCAGCCACACUGGGACUGAGACACGGCCCAGACUCCUACGGGAGGCAGCAGUGGGGAAUAUUGGACAAUGGGCGCAAGCCUGAUCCAGCAAUGCCGCGUGUGUGAAGAAGGCCCUCGGGUUGUAAAGCACUUUUAUCAGGAACGAAA